GUGGAUUAGAUACCCUGGUAGUCCACGCCGUAAACGAUGAGUGCUAGGUGUCACGGGCUUUGACCCUCGUGGUGCCGAAGCUAACGCGUUAAGCACUCCGCCUGGGGAGUACGGCCGCAAGGCUAAAACUCAAAAGAAUUGACGGGGGCCCGCACAAGCGGUGGAGCAUGUUGUUUAAUUCGACGCAACGCGAAGAACCUUACCUGGGCUAGAAAGUACAGGAACCUGGUUGAAAAAUCGGGGUGCCCUUCGGGGAAUCUGUGGUUAGGUGCUGCAUGGCCGUCGCCAACU
This 291-nucleotide ribosomal RNA is filed under the name uncultured bacterium. RNAcentral's name for it is "partial 16S ribosomal RNA". It matches the Rfam family "Bacterial small subunit ribosomal RNA", at positions 773 to 1060 of the family's 1533-position model. The record is from RNAcentral.